Molecule: ribosomal RNA, 488 nt
Filed under: uncultured bacterium
Lineage: Bacteria
Description: partial 16S ribosomal RNA
Rfam family: Bacterial small subunit ribosomal RNA
Source: RNAcentral
GACGAACGCUGGCGGCGUGCUUAACACAUGCAAGUCGAACGGAAAGGCCCUGCUUUUGUGGGGUGCUCGAGUGGCGAACGGGUGAGUAACACGUGAGUAACCUGCCCUUGACUUUGGGAUAACUUCAGGAAACUGGGGCUAAUAUCGGAUAGGAGCUCCUGAUGCAUGGGGGGGGAUGGAAAGUUUCGGCGGUUGGGGAUGUACUCGCGGCGCAUUAGCUUGUUGGUGGGGUAGUGGCGUACCAAGGUUACGACGGGUAGCCGACCUGAGAGGGUGAUCGGCCACACUGGAAAUGAGACACGGUCCAGACUCCUACGGGAGGCAGCAGUAGGGAAUCUUCCGCAAUGGGCGAAAGCUUGACGGAGCAACGCCGCGUGAGUGAUGAAGGUCUUCGGAUCGUAAAACUCUGUUAUUAGGGAAGAACAAAUGUGUAAGGAACUAUGCACGUCUUGACGGUACCUAAUCAGAAAGCCACGGCUAACUACGUG